Molecule: ribosomal RNA, 446 nt
Filed under: uncultured bacterium
Lineage: Bacteria
Description: bacterial SSU rRNA
Rfam family: Bacterial small subunit ribosomal RNA
Source: RNAcentral
GCCCAGACUCCUACGGGAGGCAGCAGUGGGGAAUAUUGCACAAUGGGGGAAACCCUGAUGCAGCGACGCCGCGUGAGCGAUGAAGUAUUUCGGUAUGUAAAGCUCUAUCAGCAGGGAAGAAGAUGACGGUACCUGACUAAGAAGCCCCGGCUAACUACGUGCCAGUAGCCGCGGUAAUACGUAGGGGGCAAGCGUUAUCCGGAUUUACUGGGUGUAAAGGGAGCGUAGACGGCGAUGCAAGCCAGAUGUGAAAGCCCGGGGCUCAAACCCGGGACUGCAUUUGGAACUGUGUGGCUGGAGUGUCGGAGAGGCAGGCGGAAUUCCUAGUGUAGCGGUGAAAUGCGUAGAUAUUAGGAGGAACACCAGUGGCGAAGGCGGCCUGCUGGACGAUGACUGACGUUGAGGCUCGAAAGCGUGGGGAGCAAACAGGAUGAGAUACCCGCGUA